RNAcentral lists this ribosomal RNA (427 nucleotides) under uncultured beta proteobacterium. RNAcentral describes it as "bacterial SSU rRNA". It matches the Rfam family "Bacterial small subunit ribosomal RNA", at positions 355 to 774 of the family's 1533-position model. Lineage: Bacteria; Pseudomonadati; Pseudomonadota; Betaproteobacteria. The record is from RNAcentral.
UGGGGAAUUUUGGACAAUGGGCGAAAGCCUGAUCCAGCCAUGCCGCGUGAGUGAAGAAGGCCUUCGGGUUGUAAAGCUCUUUUAGUCGGAAAGAAAGAGUCGCAAUGAAUAAUUGUGAUUUAUGACGGUACCGACAGAAAAAGCACCGGCUAACUACGUGCCAGCAGCCGCGGUAAUACGUAGGGUGCGAGCGUUAAUCGGAAUUACUGGGCGUAAAGGGUGCGCAGGCGGUUUUGCAAGUCAGAUGUGAAAGCCCCGGGCUUAACCUGGGAAUUGCGUUUGAAACUACAAGGCUAGAGCGCAGCAGAGGGGAGUGGAAUUCCAUGUGUAGCAGUGAAAUGCGUAGAGAUGUGGAAGAACACCGAUGGCGAAGGCAGCUCCCUGGGUUGACACUGACGCUCAUGCACGAAAGCGUGGGGAGCAAACA